Molecule: non-coding RNA, 148 nt
Filed under: Chlorocebus sabaeus (green monkey)
Lineage: Eukaryota; Metazoa; Chordata; Mammalia; Primates; Cercopithecidae
Source: Rfam by way of RNAcentral
GCUGGGCGUGGUGGCGCACACCUGUAGUCCAAGUUACCCUGGAGGCUGAGGCAUGAGAAUCACUUGAACCCAGGAGGCAGAGGUUGCAGUGAGCUGACAUUGCGCCACUGCACUCCAGCCUGGGUGACAGAGAGAGAUUCUGUCUCAA